GGGUUGUGAGGUUAAGCGACUAAGCGUACACGGUGGAUGCCCUGGCAGUCAGAGGCGAUGAAGGACGUGCUAAUCUGCGAAAAGCGUCGGUAAGGUGAUAUGAACCGUUAUAACCGGCGAUGUCCGAAUGGGGAAACCCAGUGCAAUUCGUUGCACUAUCGUUAACUGAAUACAUAGGUUAACGAGGCGAACCGGGGGAACUGAAACAUCUAAGUACCCCGAGGAAAAGAAAUCAACCGAGAUUCCCCCAGUAGCGGCGAGCGAACGGGGAGCAGCCCGGAGUCUGAAUCAGCUUGUGUGUUAGUGGAAGCGUCUGGAAAGUCGCAGGGUACAGGGUGAUACUCCCGUACACUAAAACACACAGGUUGUGAACUCGAAGAGUAGGGCGGGACACGUGGUAUCCUGUCUGAAUAUGGGGGGACCAUCCUCCAAGGCUAAAUACUCCUGACUGACCGAUAGUGAACCAGUACCGUGAGGGAAAGGCGAAAAGAACCCCGGCGAGGGGAGUGAAAAAGAACCUGAAACCGUGUACGUACAAGCAGUAGGAGCCCACUAGUUGGGUGACUGCGUACCUUUUGUAUAAUGGGUCAGCGACUUAUAUUCUGUAGCAAGGUUAACCGAAUAGGGGAGCCGCAGGGAAACCGAGUCUUAACUGGGCGUUAAGUUGCAGGGUAUAGACCCGAAACCCGGUGAUCUAGCCAUGGGCAGGUUGAAGGUUGGGUAACACUAACUGGAGGACCGAACCGACUAAUGUUGAAAAAUUAGCGGAUGACUUGUGGCUGGGGGUGAAAGGCCAAUCAAACCGGGAGAUAGCUGGUUCUCCCCGAAAGCUAUUUAGGUAGCGCCUCGUGAACUCAUCUUCGGGGGUAGAGCACUGUUUCGGCUAGGGGGUCAUCCCGACUUACCAACCCGAUGCAAACUACGAAUACCGAAGAAUGUUAUCACGGGAGACACACGGCGGGUGCUAACGUCCGUCGUGAAGAGGGAAACAACCCAGACCGCCAGCUAAGGUCCCAAAGUCAUGGUUAAGUGGGAAACGAUGUGGGAAGGCCCAGACAGCCAGGAUGUUGGCUUAGAAGCAGCCAUCAUUUAAAGAAAGCGUAAUAGCUCACUGGUCGAGUCGGCCUGCGCGGAAGAUGUAACGGGGCUAAACCAUGCACCGAAGCUGCGGCAGCGACACUAUGUGUUGUUGGGUAGGGGAGCGUUCUGUAAGCCGUUGAAGGUGGCCUGUGAGGGUUGCUGGAGGUAUCAGAAGUGCGAAUGCUGACAUAAGUAACGAUAAUGCGGGUGAAAAACCCGCACGCCGGAAGACCAAGGGUUCCUGUCCAACGUUAAUCGGGGCAGGGUGAGUCGACCCCUAAGGCGAGGCCGAAAGGCGUAGUCGAUGGGAAACAGGUUAAUAUUCCUGUACUUGGUGUUACUGCGAAGGGGGGACGGAGAAGGCUAUGUUGGCCGGGCGACGGUUGUCCCGGUUUAAGCAUGUAGGCGGAUGUUCCAGGUAAAUCCGGAACGUCACUAACGCUGAGGUGUGAUGACGAGGCACUACGGUGCUGAAGUGACAAAUGCCCUGCUUCCAGGAAAAGCCUCUAAGCAUCAGGUAACAUCAAAUCGUACCCCAAACCGACACAGGUGGUCAGGUAGAGAAUACCAAGGCGCUUGAGAGAACUCGGGUGAAGGAACUAGGCAAAAUGGUGCCGUAACUUCGGGAGAAGGCACGCUGAUGGUAGGUGAAGUGACUUGCUCACGGAGCUGAAAUCAGUCGAAGAUACCAGCUGGCUGCAACUGUUUAUUAAAAACACAGCACUGUGCAAACACGAAAGUGGACGUAUACGGUGUGACGCCUGCCCGGUGCCGGAAGGUUAAUUGAUGGGGUUAUCCUCACGGAGAAGCUCUUGAUCGAAGCCCCGGUAAACGGCGGCCGUAACUAUAACGGUCCUAAGGUAGCGAAAUUCCUUGUCGGGUAAGUUCCGACCUGCACGAAUGGCGUAAUGAUGGCCAGGCUGUCUCCACCCGAGACUCAGUGAAAUUGAACUCGCUGUGAAGAUGCAGUGUACCCGCGGCAAGACGGAAAGACCCCGUGAACCUUUACUAUAGCUUGACACUGAACACUGGUCCUUGAUGUGUAGGAUAGGUGGGAGGCUUUGAAGUGUGGACGCCAGUCUGCAUGGAGCCAUCCUUGAAAUACCACCCUUUAAUGGCUGGUGUUCUAACGUGGGCCCGUGAUCCGGGUUGCGGACAGUGUCUGGUGGGUAGUUUGACUGGGGCGGUCUCCUCCUAAAGAGUAACGGAGGAGCACGAAGGUCAGCUAAUCCUGGUCGGACAUCAGGAGGUUAGUGCAAUGGCAUAAGCUGGCUUGACUGCGAGCGUGACGGCGCGAGCAGGUGCGAAAGCAGGUCAUAGUGAUCCGGUGGUUCUGAAUGGAAGGGCCAUCGCUCAACGGAUAAAAGGUACUCCGGGGAUAACAGGCUGAUACCGCCCAAGAGUUCAUAUCGACGGCGGUGUUUGGCACCUCGAUGUCGGCUCAUCACAUCCUGGGGCUGAAGUAGGUCCCAAGGGUAUGGCUGUUCGCCAUUUAAAGUGGUACGCGAGCUGGGUUUAGAACGUCGUGAGACAGUUCGGUCCCUAUCUGCCGUGGGCGCUGGAGAAUUGAGGGGGGCUGCUCCUAGUACGAGAGGACCGGAGUGGACGCAUCACUGGUGUUCGGGUUGUCAUGCCAAUGGCAUUGCCCGGUAGCUAAAUGCGGAAGAGAUAAGUGCUGAAAGCAUCUAAGCACGAAACUUGCCCCGAGAUGAGUUCUCCCUGACUCCUUGAGAGUCCUGAAGGAACGUUGAAGACGACGACGUUGAUAGGCCGGGUGUGUAAGCGUAGCGAUGCGUUGAGCUAACCGGUACUAAUGAACCGUGAGGCUUAACCUUACAACGCCGAAG
RNAcentral lists this ribosomal RNA (2927 nucleotides) under Klebsiella oxytoca. Its description in RNAcentral is "23S ribosomal RNA". It matches the Rfam family "Bacterial large subunit ribosomal RNA". Lineage: Bacteria; Pseudomonadati; Pseudomonadota; Gammaproteobacteria; Enterobacterales; Enterobacteriaceae. The record is from RNAcentral.